This 986-nucleotide long non-coding RNA is filed under the name Carica papaya (papaya). RNAcentral describes it as "long non-coding RNA (CPAP_LNC008635)". Lineage: Eukaryota; Viridiplantae; Streptophyta; Magnoliopsida; Brassicales; Caricaceae. The record is from RNAcentral.
AGAGUGAGCUGGGCUCCACUGAUCUUCUUCGUUUUGACGUUUGGAUCAAUCGUUUACCAUUGCAAAUGUGUCAACUGGUUGAGGACAAAGAUUGUUGAGAAGCUCCCAUGGUAAUUUGGUUUUGAUCAAUUCUCAAUUAGCAGAGAGGAUUUGUGAUGGUGUUUGCUUAUAUAUAUAUAUAUAAGUUAUAGUGUGUCAAAGUACAUCAAGUGGCUGUAAAUGGCAAUGAACUUUCUUAGUACAUCCGUAGAUGCUAAUCAAAUAAGUGAAGCAUCGCUGUACAUCAUAAUCUUUGCAAAUAAUUAAUGAGUUUUUAUGUUAAUUCUGUUGCGUAAAAUUUCUUAUUUCUUUCAUUAUAUAUCAGAACGAACGGAGUAUAUAAGUAAGUUUUCAUUCUGUAAAAUUACAUCUUAAAUAUAUUUGCUUAUUUGCCCUCUGCUGAUUGCUAAGGAAAUGCCAACGGUUUGCAAGUUCAUUGGUGGUAACAUCGAGUUGCCAGGCACGAGAUUAGAUCUCCAUCUUGUCAUUCAUGAGAUGGUCUGAGUUUAUACAAAUAAUUCGGGAAAAUAAGAUUACGUGUAAUAAUAUAUACAGUAGUUUCUUAGACGGUAAUAUAUUAUAUUUCGUUUCUUAUUUAUCUUGGCCUUUUAUAAAGUUAAUGUUAAGCAGAACAAACUGCUCGCAAGAAUAUUGAUUGAUAGCCGUCACUGAAAGCUAGCCAUUUAGGCAAUCAAUUGAACAAGUAUUUCGUUCAGUUUCAAUUGAUAACAUAAUCAAGCUGUAUGUAACUUCGUGAGUGUGGUUGACGUGUUGAUCACGUUACUAGGUUAAAAAAGCAGAAAAAUUCACCUCUGUAUUUGAUAUCAAUACGACGUCGGUUGAGUGCACCAUACGGAUUUCGAAUUUCUGCAAUUAAAAGAGGGUAAAUGUUUAUUAAGUAGAAAAAGAAGAAAGAAAUUGCUCCUGUGAAUUAUGAAACAAAGUGG